CGGUAUGGUGUAGUAGGCAUCACACUGGACUUUCAAUCCAGAGACAGGAGUUCAAUUCUCCUUACC
Molecule: transfer RNA, 66 nt
Filed under: Naviculales sp. RCC2677
Lineage: Eukaryota; Bacillariophyta; Bacillariophyceae; Naviculales
Rfam family: tRNA
About the family: Transfer RNA (tRNA) molecules are approximately 80 nucleotides in length. Their secondary structure includes four short double-helical elements and three loops (D, anti-codon, and T loops). Further hydrogen bonds mediate the characteristic L-shaped molecular structure. tRNAs have two regions of fundamental functional importance: the anti-codon, which is responsible for specific mRNA codon recognition, and the 3' end, to which the tRNAs corresponding amino acid is attached (by aminoacyl-tRNA synthetases). tRNAs cope with the degeneracy of the genetic code in two manners: having more than one tRNA (with a specific anti-codon) for a particular amino acid; and 'wobble' base-pairing, i.e. permitting non-standard base-pairing at the 3rd anti-codon position.
Source: RNAcentral